Molecule: unclassified non-coding RNA, 380 nt
Filed under: Hevea brasiliensis (rubber tree)
Lineage: Eukaryota; Viridiplantae; Streptophyta; Magnoliopsida; Malpighiales; Euphorbiaceae
Source: RNAcentral
GCGGUGCAAUCCCGUGGGGCAGCAAUGAACGUCCCAUACUUUGAUAGCCUGUCUACUACCACCAUAAUGGAUCCACACCCGUCUGACUUGGGAAGGGCAGAAAUAAAGUCCAUGGUGACACUGUCCCAUGGGCGUUCAGGUGUUGGUAGGGGCUCCAGCAAUCCAGCGGGCUGUCUUUGCUCUACCUUAUCUUGCUGGCAGACAAGGCAGGUGCGUACAUAGCCUUCCACAUCUUCUUCCAUCCUAGGCCAAUAGUAGGAUCUGCUGAUAAGAGCCAUUGUUCUUUGCAUGCCUGGAUGGCCAGCCCACAUGGAGUCAUGGCACUCCUUUAGCAAUUCUUUCCGCAAGUUUCCCCACCGAGGAAUGAAGAGGCGGUUGCC